CCUACGGGUGGCUGCAGUGAGGAAUAUUGGUCAAUGGGCGCGAGCCUGAACCAGCCAAGUCGCGUGAAGGAUGACUGCCCUAUGGGUUGUAAACCUCUUUUAUACGGGAAUAAAGUGCGUUACGUGUACCGUGUUGCAUGUACCGUAUGAAUAAGCAUCGGCUAACUCCGUGCCAGCAGCCGCGGUAAUACGGAGGAUGCGAGCGUUAUCCGGAUUUAUUGGGUUUAAAGGGUGCGUAGGCGGGUUGUUAAGUCAGUGGUUAAAGUUUGUGGCUUAACCCCCAGAUUGCAAUUGAAACUGGCAGGCUUGAGUACAGUAGAGGUAGGCGGAAUGAGUGGGGUAGCGGUGAAAUGCUUAGAUAUCACGAAGAACUCCGAUAGCGAAGGCAGCUUACCAGACUGAGACUGACGCUGAAGCACGAAAGCGUGGGUAGCAAACAGGAUUAGAUACCCCAGUAGUC
RNAcentral lists this ribosomal RNA (460 nucleotides) under uncultured bacterium. RNAcentral's name for it is "partial 16S ribosomal RNA". It matches the Rfam family "Bacterial small subunit ribosomal RNA", at positions 338 to 795 of the family's 1533-position model. The record is from RNAcentral.